CCUACGGGUGACAGCAGUAGGGAAUCUUUCACAAUGGGCGAAAGCCUGAUGGAGCAACGCCGCGUGCAGGAUGAAGGCCUUCGGGUUGUAAACUGCUUUUAUAAGCGAGAAAUAUGAUGGUAACUUAUGAAUAAGGAUCGGCUAACUACGUGCCAGCAGCCGCGGUCAUACGUAGGAUCCGAGCAUUAUCCGGAGUGACUGGGUGUAAAGAGUUGCGUAGGUGGCAUAAUAAGUAGCUAGUGAAAUCUGGUGGCUCAACCAUUCAGACUAUUAGCUAAACUGUUAAGCUCGAGACCGUUAGGGGUAACUGGAAUUUCUGGUGUAGGAGUGAAAUCCGUAGAUAUUAGAAGGAACACCAAUAGCGUAGGCAGGUUGCUGGGACGGUUCUGACACUAAGGCACGAAAGCGUAGGGAGCAAACGGGAUUAGAUACCCCAGUAGUC
Molecule: ribosomal RNA, 442 nt
Filed under: uncultured bacterium
Lineage: Bacteria
Description: partial 16S ribosomal RNA
Rfam family: Bacterial small subunit ribosomal RNA
Source: RNAcentral